CAGUAGCCGCGGUAAUACGUAGGGUGCAAGCGUUAAUCGGAAUUACUGGGCGUAAAGCGUGCGCAGGCGGUUUGUUAAGACAGAUGUGAAAUCCCCGGGCUCAACCUGGGAACUGCAUUUGUGACUGGCAAGCUAGAGUGUGGCAGAGGGGGGUGGAAUUCCGCGUGUAGCAGUGAAAUGCGUAGAUAUGCGGAGGAACACCGAUGGCGAAGGCAGCCCCCUGGGCCAACACUGACGCUCAUGCACGAAAGCGUGGGGAGCAAACAGGAUUAGAGACCCGCGUAGUCCCUGUCUCUUAUAU
Molecule: ribosomal RNA, 301 nt
Filed under: uncultured bacterium
Lineage: Bacteria
Description: partial 16S ribosomal RNA
Rfam family: Bacterial small subunit ribosomal RNA
Source: RNAcentral